Molecule: ribosomal RNA, 448 nt
Filed under: uncultured bacterium
Lineage: Bacteria
Description: bacterial SSU rRNA
Rfam family: Bacterial small subunit ribosomal RNA
Source: RNAcentral
CAUGCAAGUCGAACGAGAAAUUCCGGGCUUGCUCGGGAGAGUAAAGUGGCGAACGGGUGAGUAACGCGUGGGUAACCUGCCCCUGAAUCUGGAAUAACUCGCCGAAAGGCGUGCUAAUACCGGAUAUCGUCCCAGGGACCGUGGUCCUUGUGAUGAAAGAUGACCUCUUCACGAAAGUUGUCGUUCAGGGAGGGGCUCGCGUACCAUUAGCUAGUUGGUAGGGUAAUGGCCUACCAAGGCGAUGAUGGUUAGCUGGUCUGAGAGGAUGACCAGCCACACUGGCACUGAAACACGGGCCAGACUCCUACGGGAGGCAGCAGUGAGGAAUUUUGCGCAAUAGGGGAAACCCUGACGCAGCAACGCCGCGUGAGUGAAGAAGGCCCUCGGGUCGUAAAGCUCUGUCAAGUGGGAAAAAAGCUUGCUGGUGAACAGCCAGCAAGACUGAUGG